UUAUUGGAGAGUUUGAUCCUGGCUCAGGAUGAACGCUGGCGGCGUGCCUAAUACAUGCAAGUCGAGCGAAUGGAUUAAGAGCUUGCUCUUAUGAAGUUAGCGGCGGACGGGUGAGUAACACGUGGGUAACCUGCCCAUAAGACUGGGAUAACUCCGGGAAACCGGGGCUAAUACCGGAUAACAUUUUGAACCGCAUGGUUCGAAAUUGAAAGGCGGCUUCGGCUGUCACUUAUGGAUGGACCCGCGUCGCAUUAGCUAGUUGGUGAGGUAACGGCUCACCAAGGCAACGAUGCGUAGCCGACCUGAGAGGGU
RNAcentral lists this ribosomal RNA (312 nucleotides) under Bacillus cereus group sp. MYBK214-1. Its description in RNAcentral is "partial 16S ribosomal RNA". It matches the Rfam family "Bacterial small subunit ribosomal RNA", at positions 1 to 301 of the family's 1533-position model. The record is from RNAcentral. Lineage: Bacteria; Bacillati; Bacillota; Bacilli; Caryophanales; Bacillaceae. RNAcentral also lists the same sequence under 1 other name.